CUCCCCCGUUGCUGACCCCAGGUUCGAUAGCGCCAAUUAGGCGCCACCUCGCCAAGAAACCAGCUUCGGUGAAGCGACGGGCGGUGUGUGCAAGGAG
RNAcentral lists this ribosomal RNA (97 nucleotides) under uncultured archaeon. Its description in RNAcentral is "partial 16S ribosomal RNA". The record is from RNAcentral.